AGGUAAGAGUGGAAAUAUUUAAUUUUUAUUAUCAUGAGGUCAUACAUUUGCUGCUCCAUUAUGGGAAUAAGGAACUUUUUCUCUGGAAUUCAGUAAUUAACACAUGUAUCUCUUGGUGCUUCAAUUCCUGGUGAUGGUGAUAAUUUUCCAAUUUGGGCAAUCAUAGCAUGACAAAGUAAAUGCACAUAAGAACUCAAAACCUUAAGGGGUGAAGAUAGGGUCACCCCCACCAAAUAAAUAACGUAGAUCAUUGAAAUGCUGAGAAAGAUUGAGGGAAAUCUGGAACUAGUGGUGAAAGGAGAUGAUGGAUAGUUUCUAUGGCUUGAUAGACUAGUGGAAGUGGUGCAACAGGUCUAUAGAUUAUUUCCCUAAAUCUGUAUUUGUACAGAUUGCAGCUGAUUGCUACCUUCAGCAAUCUUAGUGGAAGAAAUGAUUGCGCCAGAUGCCUCUAUGUACCACUUCAUAUCCUCUUGGUCUCACCUUUGAUUCCAGCCACAGCUAUGACGAACAUUUUCAGAUGGACAUCGACCCAAUCCACAAUCAUUGCCCCUCAUUUUAAGAGUGUGACAAAUAUUCUUACUCCAUUGCUAUGGCAACAAACAUCAUAGGCCUUCAUGGAAAUUAUGCAUGUUCAACUCAGAAAUGUGAGGAAACUAAGCCCCUACAGAGCAGUCCUCAGCCAUUGAGGAAUGAGGAUUGAUGGAUAAAAGGUUUUGCAUUAGUCUCAGUCUCCCUAGAGGGUCCAAAAUUGAUCAUCUUUCUAUGGUGAAGGCCCAAUUAAUGCUUUCCUUUGUCUUUUUAUCCUUUUUCUUUUGUGAUUUGCUCUGGGUGUUUUCAUCUGAUUUACAUACUAGGUUAUCCGUUCUUUUUAGAAGAUUUCUAAAUAUAUACAUUGAAUUCUUAAUUUUAGGUAUUUUGAAUAUUUCAGUUCUAGAAUUCUUAUUUAAAUCUUGACUAUAGUUUCCAGUUAUCUGCUAAAACUCUCCCUUUUGUUAUAUACUUUUUUGAAUAUAUGAAUUUCAAUUAUUUUAAAACAAGUUUCUGAUAACUCCAAUAUCUGAAUUUGAAUCUUUCUUUUGUCUGUUUUCUUUUCUUGGUUUUUGUUCAUAUUACCUUUUUUUUUCCCUCACAUGCCUGGUAAUUCUUUUAUAUAUAUAAAAAACUGUGGAGACAACUUGAGGCUCUGAAUGAUUUCAUAUUAUUCCAGAAAGGAGCAAGUUUUUUGCUUCUGAUACAAAAUUGUAACAGGAGUAAGUCACAUUAUUUUAUUUGAUAAUCUGGAUGGACUGAAGUGGGGCUUCAGCCUUUGUGAUGGUAUAGACGUUGAAUUUUCAAACUUAAUAUCUGGAGAAUUUGUAAUAGCUUUAUUGAGUAAAAUUGACAAAACAUAACAUUUAUUUACUCCAAGUAUACAAUUCAGUGAGUUUCAGUAGAUCUUGUAGUUGUAUAACUCUCACCAUGACCCAGUUCUAAAAUAUUUUCAGCCCCCUGAAAAUUUUUCAGUGCUCAUUUUCAGUAAAUGCCUGCUUCUACCCCUACUCCUCAGGCCUGAGGUCUUUACCAGAUGUUCUCUUGUUCAGUAAUCAGUGAACAUAAAAGUUGAUCUAAAGACCAGAACAGUGAUGGACACUCCUCUAAGCAUCUCACUUUCUCAGUUUCGUGUUUCUUCGGCUACUUGGCUGAUGAUAUUACAUUGGAAAAUUUUCAUCUGAUUUAAGAUUAAAGUGAUUUGUUAGAUUCAUCUUUUCUCCUCUAAAUAUUAGUCUUUUGAGUUCUCAUUGCCUCUGUAGCUCUAAAUGGCUUCUAAUAUGAACCUUUUAUGUUUUGAUAAACUUUUCUAGUUGUUUCUGGUAUGAAUACUAUUAUGCAACAAUCCAACCUAGUACCCCUGAGAGCUAGUUUUUGUAUUUUUUAAAGUUGGGGUACACUUGUAUAUGCUUAUCUUUUAGGUGAAAAUAGCCUGAGUAAAGGGAGGAGUAAGGGCACCUGUCAGUUUUUCUAUUAACCUCAUGUCAAAUCUCAUAUCUUAAACUCUUUCCUUCAAAAUUUUGGUUCUAUUGACGUCAGAGAUAUCUUCCAUGUCACUCUCCAUGAAGAAGGAGAACUUCUCCAAAAUGUAGAAAAAAUUAAUUUCUGUCUUUUUGAAUUGUUACUCUGUCAGUAUUUGUCAAUAGAGUCUCGUUUGAUAUAUGGGAUGGAACACUUCUGUUUUGAAUGAGGGCUUCCUAAACAUUGCAUCAAAUUUGGGAACUGUUCAAUAAUUUUGGUAAUUUGAACACCUUAAUACAUAUACAAAUUUCUCCCAAAAAAGGUAUGGUGUACACAAUCCUUGGUUGAGAACAACAAAAAAAAUGUCAUUCUUUGCUGAAUCAGUGAGUCUAAAAUUUUCUCUCAAAAUCAUUAAUACUGAGAAACAAUUCAAUAGUCCUAUAACUUAGUCCCCAUCCCUGGGUUUAUUAAUGCCAGGUGCUGAAGUCCCUUGGCAGUGCCUCUGGCACCUGAACCUUAUCUCUUGGUAUGGAUCUCACUGCAUGCUUGUCCACCUCACAGGCUAAGGGACACAGAAAGUCCUGAUCAGAACAUUGUUUUCCUGGGGUGAAGGCUGUUUCUCUUCUCUGGAAGUUUCUUCUAAGGCUGAGAGUCCUCAAAGACAAUGAAAUUACUAUUCCAACAAUCCGUCAGGAGCCUUUUCCUUCCUGAUGUUUGGAAUCCUGACCUUGGGGCACCUCAUGCCUGCCUUACUCACACAAGGGCACCAGGUUCUUCAGAAGGGAGCCUGUUGAGAAAUAGGUCUGGUGUGAGAAGGGCAGGAACUGAUUAUCACCCUCUUCCCUCCCAGGUGGUCCCUGUUUCUAAGACAUCUGCCACCAUGCUGCCCUUGUUCAACUGCAGAAAGAUGGAGUCCUAGUGCUUUUGAACCUGGGACCACAAGGAGGAGCUGUGACUCUGUUGAGAUCCAGGAAACUCUGAGCAAGGACUAAGAGAAGGCUCUGGAUGAGAGAGAGUUAAGAGGAAGUUUGGGUUUCUACAUCUGGGGAAAUGUGCUCUGCAGGAGCUGAGGUCAGUGCUGUGGUGUGGGCUGUUACACACCAGGCUACGCCCUUUGCACUGAUGUGCAGGUGUUGCUGUCCCUGGAACGUCAGAUUGUUGCAUAUGAGCUGCCUGAGAGGAGAGUUUGAGCUGAAGAGGUUGGGAGACUUAGGCAGGUGCAGGUGGGGGACCUGUUUCUAAGGGAGAUAAGAGAGGAUCUGGGGUCUGUCUCAGCUCAGCUCAGUCAUGGCAAAACAAACCUCGUGGUGAUGUCAGCUCCUGGCACUAGCAAUGAUCUUGAUAGUCUAAGGUUCUUAGGGAGCCUGCAGAGAUAAUAAUAACUGGAGGAAAUCUAUUCAUCAGGCCUAAGGAUACAUAUAACCUCCCUCUUCCUUCCCGACUAUCAGGGAAUUAAACUAGAAAAGUCUUUACUCUUCUACCUCUGAUGGAUAGUCAUAUGUGAUCUCAAAGAGAACUGUUCAAACAGGUGUUGUUUCUAGAAUGGAAGAUUUUGCAUAUAAACAUAACAGCACACAAGCUGUUCCCAAACUUUGGCAAAUGACCAAAUUAUAAGAAGGGUUUUUAAAUGUUGGAAAGACACAAUCAUGACAAUGUGCCUCUGUGUGACAUUCAGUCCACUUCUCAUUAGUUCUAGUUCUCUUGAUUUCUGCCUCAUUCCCACUGGUCCUAAGCUCUCCACCUUUUGGAAGACUAAACUUUGUCCUUGCUACAUUAUUUCAUGUUUCUUUCCUUGUUUGCUUUGUCAAUUGAGGUAUGGCUCUUGUCAGGGGUCCCUGCAUCGGUCCUGACUCCUGUUCUGUACAGGAAUCCCCUUCUCCAGUUCAGCCAUCUCAAUCAGAAAAAAAGGUGCAAGGAAUCAUUUAUUUGCUUUCUUGCAUACUAUGGGCUGUUCUUGAUAGAUAAUAAAAAUUAUGUUCUCUAAUUUUUAGUUAGACAUUAAUUUCUAGUAUUAUAUACUUUUAAAUUAUUUAAAACAAUAAUCAGAACUGGCAUUACCUCAUGUGCAAUGAGUUUCUUAAUAACAGUUUUAUUUUAGCUUCUUUUCUAGAGACUGUCCACCCAAUUUGGUCAUGAACAUUUGCAUAAAAUAGCAAGAUAAGUGAUUAUUUGAAACCUAUACUUUAAGAAUGGUUGCUUCUUUAUAUGGCUAUAAGUUCCAUCUUAAUAUUGACUCUUGUCAAUAAAGUGAUCUCUUCUCUCACUCCUUUCAUUCCUUUCUUACUCUCUCAGUCCUUCCUGCUUCCCUUCUCUCCUUUUUGGAAAGUCUUCACUUGUACUCUGUGUGGUGCAUGAUGGUAGGUGCUGGGGACGCUGGAAGAAUAAGCCUGUACCUACGUGUGCACCUGGUAAUGUCCAUAGUUUUGGAGCUGGACAGAGUGUUGAAAAUUAUUGCUUUGGGACCAUUGCUUUAUAGAUGAGAAGAAGGAAUACAGUAUAAAAUAUUUAAAUGUAAAUACUGGGUUAUAUUUCUGACUUUCAUGUAACAUGUACUUUAUAUCCCACAGGUAAUCUGUGCAUUUCUUUUUGCUCCUGUUAUAGUAUAAACAUCCCAAGAGUGAAAACAUUGUCCUCCCCAUGACUUGUACAAAUAAAAUAUGCUGAAAAUUUCCAAAAGGGG
Molecule: long non-coding RNA, 4669 nt
Filed under: Marmota monax (woodchuck)
Lineage: Eukaryota; Metazoa; Chordata; Mammalia; Rodentia; Sciuridae
Source: RNAcentral